AUUGAACGCUGGCGGCAGGCCUAACACAUGCAAGUCGAACGAGUGGCGGACGGGUGAGUAAUGUCUGGGAAACUGCCUGAUGGAGGGGGAUAACUACUGGAAACGGUAGCUAAUACCGCAUACCAUCAGAUGUGCCCAGAUGGGAUUAGCUUGUUGGUGGGGUAACGGCUCACCAAGGCGACGAUCCCUAGCUGGUCUGAGAGGAUGACCACCCAAACGGGAACUAUGCCACGGCCCAGACGCCUACGGGAGGCAGCAGGGGGAAAUAUUGCACAAUGGGGGAAAGCCGGAUGCAGCCAUGCCGCGUGUAUGAAGAAGGCCUUCGGGUUGUAAAGUACUUUCAGCGGGGAGGCGUUACCCGCAGAAGAAGCACCGGCUAACUCCGUGCCAGCCGCCGCGGUAAUAC
RNAcentral lists this ribosomal RNA (406 nucleotides) under uncultured bacterium. Its description in RNAcentral is "partial 16S ribosomal RNA". It matches the Rfam family "Bacterial small subunit ribosomal RNA", at positions 30 to 526 of the family's 1533-position model. The record is from RNAcentral.